GUGUAAUCAGUUCUGUGUAAUACUAUUUAUUUCUGUAAUCCUAUUAUAAAAUUUCCAUAAAAUUCUGACAUUACUAUAUUAGCGGAUAUUGAAAGCAUAAUUUUAUAGUACGGUUUUGAAUAUAAGUAAGAUGGCGUCGACAAGGGCAGCGGUGAGGCGCCGGCGCAGGCGCAGUGCGGCGCGGUCGACGCGUGCUCGCCGUCCGUACCUCGCGCACUCUACCACCACCGUCGUGUUGCACGACUCCUGUCCAACAAAGAAAAACGGCGGCAUCAGUGAGUUAAUCACAAUUAACUUCAACCAUGAUAUAAUGAAUAUUAAUAAGGAAUAAUGCAAGUAAACGCUAUCGAUUGUAAAAUAGUCGUUAAAAUAGGUAUAGAACUGUCGGGAAUAUCGGGUAACAUAUUCACAAAAAGUACAGAUGAAUUUAUAUCGUCGUCUUCUUGGGAAUCAUUAAAAAUUACACCAAUAAUGUACAACAGAAAUCAUGAUAUUAAGUGAUUGAUUAAUUCACAUAAAUUAAACAACGAGAAAAGGUAAUAAGUCUAAUUUCCCCAGCGUGAGUCAGUUGGCUGAAGACAAAGAAAGCGAAUCCAUCUCCGGGAUUGCAGUCGGUGAAUGUUUGUACUAUUUUGUGGAGUAAUCGCUCCGUGUCAGUGUAUUGGGGUCAAAUGCAAUUGACUGUAUAUAUCGCUGUACUUUAAUAUUUCACUAUAACAAGAUAACAAGAAUAUUUUGUUUAUCCUAAAGCAGUGAUUGCAAAACACACCUAUAUGAAUGAUGAAAUCUUAGAGAUGUGAUAGAUUGAUAAUGGAUUUGAAUUUAAAAAGCGAAAUCAUGUCUUAACAGCGUCUCUUCAGUUCAGUCAUCUUAGAUUAUAUAGGCAGAGCU
This is a long non-coding RNA of Galleria mellonella (greater wax moth), 891 nucleotides long. RefSeq lists it as uncharacterized. The record is from RefSeq and is a predicted model, not a curated record. NCBI's taxonomy places the organism in Eukaryota, Metazoa, Arthropoda, Insecta, Lepidoptera, Pyralidae. The transcript has 3 exons.